GACGAACGCUGGCGGCGUGCUUAACACAUGCAAGUCGAGCGGAAAGGCCACUUCGGUGGUACUCGAGCGGCGAACGGGUGAGUAACAAGUGAGUAAUCUGCCCCUGGCUUUGGGAUAGCCACCGGAAACGGUGAUUAAUACCGGAUACGACCACUUCUCGCAUGGGAUGGUGGUGGAAAGUUUUUUCGGCCAGGGAUGUGCUCGCGGCCUAUCAGCUUGAUGGUGAGGUAAUGGCUCACCAUGGCUUCGACGAGUAGCCGGCCUGAGAGGGUGAACGGUAACACUGGGACAGAGACACGGCACAGACUCCUACGGGAGGCAGCAGUGGGGAAUACUGGACAAUGGGCGGAAGCCCGAUCCAGCAACGCCGCGUGAGGGAUGACGGCCUUCGGGUUGUAAACCUCUUUCAGCAGGGACGAAGCGCAAGUGACGGUACCUGCAGAAGAAGCACCGGCCAACUACGUGCCAGCCGCCGCGGUAA
Molecule: ribosomal RNA, 481 nt
Filed under: uncultured bacterium
Lineage: Bacteria
Description: partial 16S ribosomal RNA
Rfam family: Bacterial small subunit ribosomal RNA
Source: RNAcentral